GGUUUUUUGUUUAUAAUAAAAGAUUUAAUCUGUUCAAUGAAUUUAUUAAAUAAUUGCAGUAUUUUGACUGUACUAAGGUAGCAUAAUUAUUUGUUUUUUAAUUGAGAACUGGGAUGAAAGAUUGAAUGAAAAAUAAAUUUUAUUAUUAUAUUUAUUUGAAUUUAAUUUAAAAAUAAAAAAGUUUUUAUUUUAUUAAUAGACGAUAAGACCCUAUAGAAUUUAAUUUUUUAAUAUAAAUAAUUUUUAUUAAAAAAUUUGAUUGGGGAGAUUAAAAAAUUUUAUGAACUUUUUUAUAUUUUUUAAAUUAUUAUUAAUUAUUAAAGAUUAAUUAAAUUGUUAUUAUUUGUAAAAUUACCUUAGGGAUAACAGCAUAAUUUUUUUAAAAAGUUCUUAUUGAUAAAAAAGAUUAUGACCUCGAUGUUGAAUUAUAAUUAAAUUAAAGUGUAGAAUUUUUAAUAUUUAGUCUGUUCGACUAUUUAAAUUAUACAU
This 489-nucleotide ribosomal RNA is filed under the name Amitus sp. M142. RNAcentral describes it as "partial 16S ribosomal RNA". Lineage: Eukaryota; Metazoa; Arthropoda; Insecta; Hymenoptera; Platygastridae. The record is from RNAcentral.